UUUAAUACUGCAUGUCUGUGUGUGUUUUUGUUUACAGUCUUCUACCCAAGACCACUGACCAUGUCAAUCUAACAAAAGUUUAUGUUGAGGCCUUUUCCAAUCCAAAGGAGGAGCUGUGGGGGAAAGACUAAAGGCAUACAUGAGCGCUCUACUUAAGGAUCCUACCAGCAUUGAUCUCAAGAGAGAAGUGGUCAUACUGUGCCUGAUGGACUAUUUGGGGGCGGACAAAACGGCCCUGAUUAAGGAAUAUUGUUCAGAUGACCUGGUCCAUCACGACAUUCCGCAACAGGUGAUGGGAAUCUAUGUAAUUAGGAAAGAUUCAUCAAAUGCCGACCUCACAGAUGAUGUUGGAAUUGUCCUCGAGGGUGUUAAGGUGAUGGGUGGUCUUGGAAACCUGGCACGGGCAUGCUCUGCUCUUCUUGGACUGACCUACUCACUGAACCUAAGA
Sardina pilchardus (European sardine) is the source of this 448-nucleotide long non-coding RNA. RefSeq lists it as uncharacterized. NCBI's taxonomy places the organism in Eukaryota, Metazoa, Chordata, Actinopteri, Clupeiformes, Clupeidae. The record is from RefSeq and is a predicted model, not a curated record. The transcript is spliced from 4 exons.